CUGGCUGGUGCCUUUGUCCAGAGCGCUCUGCCCCCUGCCCACCGUCCUCACCGUCAGGUCUCAUUCACACGACAUGCUGCUAACCGCUGUAGAGCGUACAAUUGAAUGUCAUUGAGAACAUACACAACGUUGGGCGCCUGAGUGGCUCAUCUGACUUCGGCUCAGGUCAUGAUCUCACAGUUCGUGAGUUCGAGUCCCACAUCGGGUGAGCUCAAGCCCCAUCUCGGGUGAAAACUCUCUCUCUCACCCCCUCUGCCCCUCUUGGGAUUCUCUCUCUCUCUCUCUCUCUCUCUCUCUCUCUCUCUGUGCCUCCCUCCCCCCCGCCCCCCCCCCCCCUCAAAAGAACAUUUACAAUGUUGUACAGCCAUCCCCUCUCCCUAGUUCCAAAACAUUUUCAUCUUCCUAAAAGGAAACCCAUUAAGCAGUUACUCCCCAUUUCCGCCUCCGGGAGUCUGCUUUCUGCCUCUAUGAAUUUUCCUUUCUGGCCAUUUCGCUGCUAUGAAAGUUCACGUACGAGCAUGUGUCCGAAUACCUAUUUUCAGUUCUUUUGGGCAUAUACCUAGGAGUGAAUUGCUGGGUCAUGCGGUCAUUCUGCGCCUAAUUUUCUGAGGAAUCGUCCCUUUGUUUUUGACGUCUUCCUUACCCCUAGGUGUCUGUGCCUGUGCUGUCCCACACCGUAGCCACCAGCCCUGUGUGGUUGUUUCCGUUUAAAUUGGUGAAAAUGAAACAAAACGAAAGAUUUAGAUCUUCGGUCACACCAGUUAUGUUUCAAGGGCUCAGUAGCUGUCUGCGAUUAGCAGUCACCGAAGUUCCAUCAUUCUGGGGUGUGCUAAUGGACAGUGCUGGUCUACACUGUGAGAUCCCCCCUGAGGGAAGGACUAACCCUGCCUGGUUUACCGGAAUGUGCCCAAUGUCUAGGAAAGCGCCUGGCAUGUAGGAUUGUUAUUUUAGGGAGGGAGGAAAGAAGGGUUGCUUACGGGAUCAUUUCUUUAUUUGAUCUUCUCGGAAAAGCUCUACAGGCGGCAGAAAACGAAUGCUUUUUCCGUUUUUAAAAUAACAGUCUCAGGGAGCGCAAUAGCAAGCCCGGGGUCACAGAGCUGGUAUGGAUCGUAACCCUCCACCCUCCCCCUCCCUCCACCAGCUAGACCUUGAGUGACUCCCGAGGCAUUUGGACAGAAUAGUAGUGGGCAGCCCGGGGGCUGGAAAAUACCAGAGGUGGCUGACACAGUAGUCUGGCUUGAGAGGCAUUAGGGCAUUUUUUUAAUGUUUACUUGUUUUUGAGAGAAAGAGAGAGAGCAGAAUCAGGGAAAGGGCAGAGAGAGAGGGAGACACAGAAUCUGAAGCAGGCUCCGGGCUCUGAGCUGUUGGCACAGAGCCCGACACAGGGCUCAAACCCACAGACCGUGACAUCAUGACCUGAGCCGAAGUCGGACGUCCAACCCACUGAGCCACCCAGGCGCCCCUGCAUCUUUCUACAUAGGACAUCAGACCCCAACCGGCCUUGCUCCCCGCCCCUGCCCUGCCAAUGCCACAGGACGCCGUGUGCUUCCCAAGGUCACGUUCCGGUACUCCCCAGACAGCAGAAGCCUCGAGGAGCUGAACCCAUGGGGUUCCCUGCACGCCUCUCCACCGCAACCCUGCUGUGUCUCAGAAAGGCUGGAUGUGCCCAUCCUCUCUCCGUGUCCUGCUGUGUCCCGGGCCCAAUGGCACAUGUGCCCUUAGUUUCGGAGAGAUCUCAGGAAGACAAGCCCGAAGCCAAGCGAAGCAAGGCGCCACCGUCUCCCCAGGACUCCCCAGAUGUGCUCCCGUGAGAGCCCUUUCCCCACAUGCCAGAGCAGCGGCCACAGCUGAAUCCAGCUUAGGCCCAGCCGGCCUUGCCCACACACCAGAGAGGUCACGGCAUGCCCUCGCUGACGGGCGGCACCUUACGGUUCCAACGGCACCCCGUUUUACAGAUGAGACACCAGGACCCGGAGAGGGCGGGGCUGGAAGCAAGGUCACAGCGUGAGUGGUUCCCAGGGCGGUUUGUUUUGUUCUGGACCAAAAGAGCAAGGAGUCUGAGCAGUGGUGCAGGACGCCCCUGGUCUUUCAGGCGUGACAGACCUCCUCGAAGUGACAUCCCCAUGUUGGAACCCGUUUGCUACCCGUGGGGCACAGAAGUUAAGUGUAGGAAUUGAGAGUAAGCAUUUAGAAAUAUUUAUAGUGGCUUCGUGGAGAAAUUUGUUUCUUUUUUUAACUUUUUUUUUUUAA
This is a long non-coding RNA of Panthera uncia (snow leopard), 2250 nucleotides long. RefSeq lists it as uncharacterized. Lineage: Eukaryota; Metazoa; Chordata; Mammalia; Carnivora; Felidae. The record is from RefSeq and is a predicted model, not a curated record. The transcript is spliced from 2 exons.